Molecule: transfer RNA, 72 nt
Filed under: Spirochaetales bacterium
Lineage: Bacteria; Pseudomonadati; Spirochaetota; Spirochaetia; Spirochaetales
Also listed under: 3 other names
Description: tRNA-Glu
Rfam family: tRNA
About the family: Transfer RNA (tRNA) molecules are approximately 80 nucleotides in length.
Source: RNAcentral
GGCCCAUUCGUCUAGUGGUUAGGACACUAGAUUUUCAAUCUAGCAGCGGGAGUUCGAUUCUCCCAUGGGCUA